UUGAACGCUGGCGGCAUGCCUUACACAUGCAAGUCGAACGGCAGCACGGGAGCAAUCCUGGUGGCGAGUGGCGAACGGGUGAGUAAUAUAUCGGAACGUGCCCAGUCGUGGGGGAUAACGUAGCGAAAGCUACGCUAAUACCGCAUACGAUCUAUGGAUGAAAGCGGGGGAUCGCAAGACCUCGCGCGAUUGGAGCGGCCGAUAUCAGAUUAGGUAGUUGGUGAGGUAAAGGCUCACCAAGCCGACGAUCUGUAGCUGGUCUGAGAGGACGACCAGCCACACUGGGACUGAGACACGGCCCAGACUCCUACGGGAGGCAGCAGUGGGAAUUUUGGACAAUGGGCGCAAGCCUGAUCCAGCAAUGCCGCGUGCAGGAUGAAGGCCUUCGGGUUGUAAACUGCUUUUGUACGGAACGAAACGGUAAGCUCUAAUACAGUUUGCUAAUGACGGUACCGUAAGAAUAAGCACCGGCUAACUACGUG
Molecule: ribosomal RNA, 482 nt
Filed under: uncultured bacterium
Lineage: Bacteria
Description: bacterial SSU rRNA
Rfam family: Bacterial small subunit ribosomal RNA
Source: RNAcentral